Small nucleolar RNA from Danio aesculapii, 133 nucleotides. RefSeq annotates it as U8 small nucleolar RNA. Lineage: Eukaryota; Metazoa; Chordata; Actinopteri; Cypriniformes; Danionidae. The transcript has a single exon. The record is from RefSeq and is a predicted model, not a curated record.
GCAUCAGUGAGGUUUAUCCUUAUCUGGUGUCUUAGAACUAAGACUACAGUACAUGAUGAUUGGAUUCUAUGAAUACCUGAUUAUAUUCAGUAUUCUUAAAGUCUUUGCAACACCUUUAUGUCCCCUCUCUUAU